CGAAAGCCUGACGGAGCAACGCCGCGUGGGGGAAGAAGGCUCUUGGGUUGUAAACCUCUUUUCUCAGGGAAGAAGCUCUGACGGUACCUGAGGAAUCAGCCUCGGCUAACUCCGUGCCAGCAGCCGCGGUAAUACGGAGGAGGCAAGCGUUAUCCGGAAUUAUUGGGCGUAAAGCGUCCGCAGGUGGCGAUUCAAGUCUGCUGUCAAAGCACGGGGCUUAACUCCGUUAAGGCAGUGUAAACUGAAUAGCUAGGGUGCCGUAGGGGUAGAGGGAAUUCCCGGUGUAGCGGUGAAAUGCGUAGAGAUCGGGAAGAACAUCGGUGGCGAAAGCGCUCUACUGGGUCGCACCUGACCCUCAGGGACGAAAGCUAAGGUAGCG
This 379-nucleotide ribosomal RNA is filed under the name uncultured cyanobacterium. RNAcentral's name for it is "bacterial SSU rRNA". It matches the Rfam family "Bacterial small subunit ribosomal RNA", at positions 376 to 770 of the family's 1533-position model. Lineage: Bacteria; Bacillati; Cyanobacteriota. The record is from RNAcentral.